Molecule: non-coding RNA, 132 nt
Organism: Shewanella benthica KT99
Lineage: Bacteria; Pseudomonadati; Pseudomonadota; Gammaproteobacteria; Alteromonadales; Shewanellaceae
Source: Rfam
GGACGAGCCUCUGGAGAGAUCGCAAAUGGCUUUUAUUUUAUUGAGCUAUUAUGCGGCGCCGAAGGCGAAAGUGCCUAAGUUAUCUACCCAUUUAGACGCGAAACGCUCAGGCAAAAGGACAGGGGAGAGGAU